This 899-nucleotide ribosomal RNA is filed under the name Mammaliicoccus sciuri. Its description in RNAcentral is "bacterial SSU rRNA". It matches the Rfam family "Bacterial small subunit ribosomal RNA", at positions 38 to 921 of the family's 1533-position model. The record is from RNAcentral. Lineage: Bacteria; Bacillati; Bacillota; Bacilli; Caryophanales; Staphylococcaceae.
GGGGGGGGGCUAUAAUGCAGUCGAGCGAACAGAUGAGAAGCUUGCUUCUCUGAUGUUAGCGGCGGACGGGUGAGUAACACGUGGGUAACCUACCUAUAAGACUGGGAUAACUCCGGGAAACCGGGGCUAAUACCGGAUAAUAUUUUGAACCGCAUGGUUCAAUAGUGAAAGACGGUUUCGGCUGUCACUUAUAGAUGGACCCGCGCCGUAUUAGCUAGUUGGUAAGGUAACGGCUUACCAAGGCGACGAUACGUAGCCGACCUGAGAGGGUGAUCGGCCACACUGGAACUGAGACACGGUCCAGACUCCUACGGGAGGCAGCAGUAGGGAAUCUUCCGCAAUGGGCGAAAGCCUGACGGAGCAACGCCGCGUGAGUGAUGAAGGUCUUCGGAUCGUAAAACUCUGUUGUUAGGGAAGAACAAAUUUGUUAGUAACUGAACAAGUCUUGACGGUACCUAACCAGAAAGCCACGGCUAACUACGUGCCAGCAGCCGCGGUAAUACGUAGGUGGCAAGCGUUAUCCGGAAUUAUUGGGCGUAAAGCGCGCGUAGGCGGUUUCUUAAGUCUGAUGUGAAAGCCCACGGCUCAACCGUGGAGGGUCAUUGGAAACUGGGAAACUUGAGUGCAGAAGAGGAGAGUGGAAUUCCAUGUGUAGCGGUGAAAUGCGCAGAGAUAUGGAGGAACACCAGUGGCGAAGGCGGCUCUCUGGUCUGUAACUGACGCUGAUGUGCGAAAGCGUGGGGAUCAAACAGGAUUAGAUACCCUGGUAGUCCACGCCGUAAACGAUGAGUGCUAAGUGUUAGGGGGUUUCCGCCCCUUAGUGCUGCAGCUAACGCAUUAAGCACUCCGCCUGGGGAGUACGACCGCAAGGUUGAAACUCAAAGGAAUUGACGGGGACC